Coturnix japonica (Japanese quail) is the source of this 1109-nucleotide non-coding RNA. The record is from RefSeq and is a predicted model, not a curated record. NCBI's taxonomy places the organism in Eukaryota, Metazoa, Chordata, Aves, Galliformes, Phasianidae.
GCAGCACAGCCUGCCUGCUCCUCCACCGUGCCAGCCCGCCCAGCGCUGCGCUCACAGCAGAGCCAGCGGCAGUCCAGGCGCUCAUCUCCUUACCCCCUGCGCCGCACCUCCGCCCGCAAGUAACUUGGGGGCCCUUAAUUAACAGCUCCAGCGGCAGAGAACUGUCCUGCCGGCAUUGCUCAAGUAUCACCAUCUCCUCCUCCUCAGCAAUACCGGGCCUCUCUGGAGAUCAGUUCUGCAGGAGUGCGGGACUUCCUGAUUCUGCAGCUUGUUCUGGGCUUUAAUUUUGUCUUAGUGUUAAAUUUAGGAGUUUAGUGUUUAGACAGUUUAAGGCUUUAAGUUUUGUGUUAGUGUUAGACAUAGGUUACUUUAGGAUUUUAGUGUUAGGCAUUACCAUCCAACUGGAACGUGCACUCAAAAAGUGCACCAAGUGCUUCUGUGCCCAUGGAGAGGUGUUUGAGAUUGCUGAGGGUGUGGUGGGCAAUGUUGGCCCCACUCACAACUUCCAGCCCCCUCACUACGAUGGCAUUGAGUGCCUGGCCAUCCAAGGAGACAUCCUCUUCAGCGGCUCCAGGGACAACGGCAUUAAAAAGUGGGAUCUGGAAGCAGCAGGAACUUCUCCAGCAAAAUCCCAAUAGCACACAAAGAUUGGGUCUGUGCCCUGGCCUUCAUCCCUGGCCGUCCAAUGGUGCUGAGUGCGUACCGAGGAGGCGUGAUCAAAGUCUGGAACGUGGAUAACAUCAGCUCGGUUGGGGAGAUCAAGGGGCACGACAGCCCCAUCAACGCCAUCUGCACCAACUCCAAGCACAUCUUCACUGCCUCCAGCAGCCGGAGCUGCACAUCUGACCUGGCUCACCCUGAGCUUCCCUGCAGAGAUCUCUGAAUCCCAACUGCAAAGUCUGCUGACCCUCUGCUCUUCCCUGGGUACCCACUUUGCUCUGCAGUGGGGUGGGGAAGGGCUGCAGAUGGGUGAGGAUGGAGAUGGUUGUGCCAGGAGCGGAGUGCGGACGGGUUGGACCCUGAUCUGCACGACUCCCCCCACGGCUGCACGCCUGAAGGACAAUCCUACAGAGAACGAUGGUGCAUGGCUGGAGCCCUUCAGAAGGCUG